Molecule: long non-coding RNA, 3727 nt
Filed under: Sorghum bicolor (sorghum)
Lineage: Eukaryota; Viridiplantae; Streptophyta; Magnoliopsida; Poales; Poaceae
Description: long non-coding RNA (SBIC_LNC006628)
Source: RNAcentral
CCAGCCCAAUACACGAGAGGGGGACUAUAUAAGAAUCAAUGGAGUUGUCACUACCACGAACUACCCCGCGAUUUGGCAUAUAGGGUACAAUCGCAAGAUAAAUACGGUAUAGGCACCACGCCUACAGAAUACUUAUCAUUUACCCACUGUACACAUGGAUAAAUGCUACACGAUCCUAAACAUGUAUAUAAAUCCAAUCUAACUAAGCCAAGUAUAUAACUAUGAUAAACUAAGAACAAUAUAAUUCCAAAUAUAAACAAGUAGAGCAAAGUCAUAAUCAAUAUAUUGAAGUAGAACAAAGUCAUAUUCAUAAUAUUGAAGAACAAAGAUGAACAAUUGAAGAACAAUAGAGAAUUACCAAGAAUCCUCUUGACAGAUCCAGAAACCAAUCGAAGAUUGACUCCUUCUAGUUCUAAUCCUAUGUAGCUAUGCUAAUCUAGAGAUCUAAUUGAUGUGAUGGCUCUAGGGCUUGAUCAGAGGCUUCUUCUCCCAAGAUGAAUAAUGAAUUAGGGGUCUGAGCUCUCCUCCUCCAGGGGCCAGGGGGUCUGGUUAUAUAGUCCUUCCAAGUGAAUGUGGGCCGUCGGAUCAAACCGACAUUGAUUGAACGGUUAUCCUUGAUCCUUUAGGUCGGUGGAGCAUGAUCCGUGAAGUUGGAGCUGAUUGGUGGAUAGGCCAGGGUGGGCGCCCUAGGGGGGAGGGCGGGCGCCCUGCCCCCGAGCCCGUUCGGUCUCCCGUUCGUUCUCGUGGCUUAUGGACUCUUCUAGAUGUAGGAUUAUUGCAUGGCACGUUAAUAUCUCUAUGUAAACCCGACGUGUGGGCCUUUCUUCUGUAUUUCCUAAUAACCCUAUCCAGAAAUAGACAAACACCAAUACUCGUGGAAUUCUGUCAGAUAAAACUCUAAGUUUGGAUGUCGGUUGCAGGAUCCUUUUCUUUGUUUAUUUACUGAUUAUAUUUGAUACUUAACGACUGUCAACAAACUCCCCCAAGCUUACCUCUUGCUCGUCCCUGACCAAGGAUAAUCUCAGUGAUGGAUAAGAAGUUGUUGUAAUGCCUUUAAAAGUUGACGGUACACAUGUUUUUAAAUGAGAUCUUAACUCUGAGUUAGAGUAAACUGUCAAGACUUAAAACUUACUCAUUUUACCUUUCACCGUGGGACUCGUAAGCAUCACUUCUAUCUUGAGUAGUUAAAAGAUAGAAUGGUCUAAUCAAGUGCCAUGUCGAGUUUUUGCAUAUUUUCAAAUAAAACUCAUAGAUUCCUUGUAUGACUCUCUCAGAUCUCUCUUUUGUGGUAUUUUUGGAUCCUUACCAAGGCAGUGAUGGUAUAUGCCUUAUCUCAUAGUAUAUAGUAUUUGUGGUAUGAAGCAUAGUGACUUUGCCUUCUCUCUCAUCCUACUCUAAUAAGGCUUUAAUAUCUAGAGCUCAUAGGUGGGAGAUAAAGUAUACAUACUUACAAGACAUUUAUUGCAUAGUCAAACUAUGGAUCCAGAGUAACAAGUCAAUAAGUCAAAUCAAUAUGUGCAUGUGUGGCGAAAUGAAUGGUGUACGGUGAUGAUGGUGAUAACAAUGGUGAAAGUCUAAUUCUACUUUUGCUCUUUUGAGGGGAUACAUACCUUCCUUGCUCUUUUAAACUUUUUUGAGAAGAAUGAGAUGCUCUAUAUUUUCUUUUUCUUCCCUCUCAGGUGGGUAUCUUGUACCCCUAAUUCUACUGUCGGGCACUUGUCUAUUUUUACCUCUCGUCUCACUUUUUCUUUUCUUUCGAGGUUCCGGGCACUUGCCCCUUUUUAUUUCCUCGUCUCUUUUUCUUUUUCUUUUUUUAGAGCACUCAUCUCCUGAAAUAAUAUAGUAAGUGAUAGUAACCAAGAUAACUCGAGCAUUUAUUUCACAAGGGAGAAACAGAAAUGUUUUUGGCUAUUCUCUCUCGGAUUAGGAGUAGAAUAUUUUUAGAUGGUUCUAGAGAUGGAAAUGAGUGGAUAUAUGUGGAUGCAUACUCCCGGAGGAGAAGCAGCAUGUGUGAGUGAACGUGCAAGUGAAUCUUGAUUUAACCACAUGACAACCUCCUAAGGGUCUACACAGCUUGACCACACUCAAUGCUCAUAAGCAGUAAAAAGUAAUGUGUGGCUCAAAGUCUAGCAAGCGUGUAUAUAUGGCUGUGGUAGAAAUUUAAACUCUCAUCAUACAAGAACUCAUCAUGUGUUAUUUUAAAGAUUUUCAAAGAUAAAAUUCUCCAGAAUUCUAGCAUCUCUAGGAACAAAUAAACAGCAGCUCAACCUUCCCAUAUCAUAUCCGUUAACAACUUAGACUUUAGAUCAAGUUUUCUUCCCACAAGUCUAGGUUUAGAGCAAGCUUUAAAUUAUAACAGUUAUGUCUAAACUUGCGAGAGAACUUCAAAUUUUAAAAAUUAGGCAGAGCAACUAUUUAUCAUAUCCAUGCUAGAGUUUUAUUAUUAAGAUUCAGUUUAGCAUAGCCACUUUAUUUAUUUAUUAAACACACUAAGCAAAAGACAUAUAUUUAUAUAGGCAAAAAAUCUUUAUUUGGUUUUUUAUGGUUAUGUAUAUUUAUAUUUUAAUAUAGUAUAACAGUAUAAAUAGGUAGAUAGAAAUACUUAGCGGGAUAAAUGGGGGUGCUCUCCCCCAAGCUGAAUUUUGACGUAAUUUCUUCUAAUGUAGCUAGCAGGUGGCAGAGGUGUAUUUGAAAGUCGGCAGUACCCUGACAGCGAUCAGAAUGUCCUCCGUCUGCUAGUCUUCUUGAUUCUUGAAUUCUGUGGAGCUCAAAUAGACAACAAAGCUUUGUGGAACCGAUUAGGUGUUAGCAUAAAUAUCUAGCCUUUAUCAUGUUGAGCCUCCUCAAUAAGUGUUACUCUCUAUGGUAGGAUCACAAUUCUAUUUCUAUAUUUUCAUUUUUAUAAAGCAGAAAAAAUUAUUUAUUUUAUUUUUAUGCCACCACAGUGAAUGUACUUAUGGGUUUUAUACCACUCGUAUACUCACAUGGGGCUUACAGUUUUUUAACAUUUAUUUAUUUUCUUUUUAGGAUAGUACGUGUCGGUGUUUUCCCCCCGGGGGUCACACCAACGAGUAAAUUUGUAUGCGUGCUCCCUUUCCCAGAUGGUGAUGCAAGAAGACACAGAGAUUUAUCCUGGUUUGGGCAAGAGAAGGCCCUACGUCCAGCGGGGGGGGGAGAAGUUUGUAUUAUCUUGCACCUAAGUGCUUGUACAGGGGCGAAUACAAGCGUUGUAUGGAGUGUAUGUGUGCUACUGCGUAUGGGUGUAGUGGUAUCCCUUGUGUUCUAUUCCUGAGUCCCUCCUUUUAUAGUUCCAAGGAGAGACCCAGGGUACAUGUAUAGGUGUCAGAAUAGGAGUUGAUAGCAGUAUGGAGCGCUGACCUACUCGAGGCUCCUGUACCGACAUGGCCUCGAGCUGUCCCGUCUUACUAGCUUGGUGAUGAUUACGCGUGCCCCUGCAUUCGGCUCUGCGCGCCGUCUUGUGCUGGUUCAGCGGUCGCACGCUCGUGCGGUUCGGCGGCAAAUCCGGCGGAGUGGUUGCGGCGUGGCUAGUCGAUGUCUGUCCCGUCCUCAGGAAGGAAGCAUGUUUAGUCGAGGGUCAGACGCCGUACGACGUCCUGAUGUCAGAGCACUGACCCUGGAUACCUCGAGGGGGACUUGAUUAGACGUGCCAUCUCUGUUUGCCACGUCUUGACACGCCCUGGGCCGUUCGGUGGGGAAGGCUGCAAAA